This 394-nucleotide ribosomal RNA is filed under the name uncultured bacterium. RNAcentral's name for it is "partial 16S ribosomal RNA". It matches the Rfam family "Bacterial small subunit ribosomal RNA", at positions 523 to 918 of the family's 1533-position model. The record is from RNAcentral.
AUACGUAGGGGACGAGCGUUGUCCGGAAUUGCUGGGCGUAAAGGGCGCGCAGGCGGAUAUUUAAGUCAGCUGUAAAAGGCAUGAGCUCAACUCAUGUAUGCGGUUGAAACUGGGUAUCUAGAGUGCUGGAGAGGUAGGCGGAAUUCCCGGUGUAGCGGUGAAAUGCGUAGAUAUCGGGAAGAACACCAGUGGCGAAGGCGGCUUACUGGCCAGCAACUGACGCUGAAGCGCGAAAGCCAGGGGAGCGAACGGGAUUAGAUACCCCGGUAGUCCUGGCAGUAAACGAUGUAUGCUGGGUGUGAGACUAGCGAUAGUUUCGUGCCGAAGUUAACGCGAUAAGCAUACCGCCUGGGGAGUACGGUCGCAAGAUUGAAACUUAAAGGAAUUGACGGGG